ACUGGGCCGCGCAGGCCUGACCGCCGCCGGGGUGGCCGCGCCUGCCCCGCAGUGCCCGGCCCCGCCACCCCGGAGCCGCGGCGCGCCCGCCCCGGCCCUGCCGAGGGGCGGCCCGGCGGCCGCGGGCCUUACCUGGAUCCCACGGGCGCCUCAGGCCCCGCCGCCGCUGCCGUCCCCGCGCCGCCGCUCGCCGGCCGGAGGCGGAGCCGCCGCAGCCCGGGCUCGGCGCCCUCUACCGGGGCCGGGGCCUGGCGGACCCGGGGUGGGACAGGGAGGGCGGGCGGCGCCGGGGCCGCUCACUUAUCCGCCCUUGUGCCCAUCGGUUUGGGAGUGGAGGUACCUCUCACAGAAUCACAGGGAUUCAUUCAGACCAGGACCAAAGAGGAACUUCUGUGUCCCAUGGAUCUCAUUGUCAGAUUGCCACCAUGCCACAGAGUGCAGAGGCCAGGAAACCCCUAGCACAAGAUCUGUAGUUGUGUGAGGGCUUGGGAACUUCCAACAUGAGCCAUUUGCCAUUAGAUGGCAGCGAAAAGCUCCUCUCAAAGCUGCCACGGGCUCGGGCUUCCUUCACAAGAGGCUUUGCUCAGCCACAGACCGGUCAUAUCUAUCUCUAAGAAGAAUGUUCUUUAAGCUGCUUUCAGCUGCAUUGGCAUCCUGCACAAAGAAUCCCUUUCCAGAAGCAAGCAAGAUUUCACAAAGCACCUUUGACUGCAGCUUACUUAUUCCUUGAAAACACAUCUUAGACAUUAAAGAUGGAUAAUUAAUGGAGUAAGUAGAAGACCACAUUGAGUCAUAAGAAGAAAGAAUAUGGAGGUGGGAAGUGCAGACUGCUCUAAUCAGCACUGCAGAAGCAACAGAGGCCACCCUAAUCAGUCAGAGCAGGGUGACCCACCUAAACCAGAAAUACAUAGCUGCUUUGCUGUUGAAAACUGGUGUUACAUCACUGGUUAAGCAAAUGAGAGGAAAACACUCCAGAGGUGUAAAAGAUGUGUAAAUUGCACAGUGGAAGAUCUGGGAUGAUCUGUCUCCUAUGGAAGUGUGUCCUUGCAACACCAGCUGUCUAAACUCUGCGUGUUCUCAUCACUGUGUGACCACCCCUUCUGUACACCUCUCCUAAGGAUACCCUGUGAUACAGUGUUCACCAUCUAAAAGAUAGAUGAAGUCUGGACACUCUUAGUGACACACGAUACAUGCUUCCAUUAGUUCAUCUUUUCAAAUCCUAGACUACUCCCUUUUUCUAUUGUGAAAUGGGAAGAAGAGCUGAUCUACCUUCUAGAAUUUGGCCAUUUAUAUACAUUUUAAUAACAUUUGCUGUUAUUUUGGCUUAUAAAAUAAACAGUUCCAACUUAA
Long non-coding RNA from Pipra filicauda (Wire-tailed manakin), 1350 nucleotides. RefSeq lists it as uncharacterized. The transcript has 6 exons. The record is from RefSeq and is a predicted model, not a curated record. Lineage: Eukaryota; Metazoa; Chordata; Aves; Passeriformes; Pipridae.